GAGACACGGCCCCCACUCCUACGGGAGGCAGCAGCAGGGAAUCUUCCGCAAUGGGCGAAAGCCUGACGGAGCGAUGCCGCGUGAGGGAUUAAGGUUUUUGGAUUGUAAACCUCUUUUCUUGGGGAAGAGCAAGGACGGUACCCAAGGAAUAAGUGACGGCUAACUACGUGCCAGCAGCCGCGGUAAUACGUAGGUCACGAACGUUGUCCGGAAUUAUUGGGCGUAAAGGGUCCGUAGGCCGUUUGGUCAGUCUCCUGUGAAAUCUCUAGGCUCAACCUAGAGAGGUCGGGAGAUACUGCUAAACUAGAGAUUGUCAGAGGCAAGUGGAAUUCCCGGUGUAGUGGUGAAAUGCGUAGAUAUCGGGAGGAACAUCAAUGGCGAAAGCAGCUUGCUGGGGCAUUUCUGACGCUGAGGGACGAAAGCGUGGGUAGCAAACCGGAUUAGAUACCCGGGUAGUCCAUGCCCUAAACGAUGAAUGCUAGGUUUGCGGGGUAUCGACCCCUUGUGAGCCGAAGCUAACGCGAUAAGCAUUCCGCCUGGGGACUACGGCCGCAAGGCUAAAACUCAAAGGAAUUGACGGGGGCCCGCACAAGCAGCGGAGCGUGUGGUUUAAUUCGAUGGUAAGCGAAGAACCUUACCUAGGCUUGACAUGUAAGUUACUGAUCUGAAAAGUGAGGAACCCGCAAGGGAGCUUACACAGGUGUUGCAUGGCUGUUGUCAGCUCGUGCCGUGAGGUGUUGGGUUAAGUCCCGCAACGAGCGCAACCCCUAUUACUAGUUAUUUUCUCUAGUGAGACUGCCCCUAAAAGGGAGGAAGGUGGGGACGACUUCAAGUCAUCAUGACUCUUACGUCUAGGGCUACACACACGCUACAAUGGCCAGUACAGACGGUUGCUAAGCCGCGAGGUGGAGCCAAUCCGAUAAAGCUGGUCUCAGUUGGGAUUGAAGGCUGCAACUCGCCUUCAUGAACGCGGAGUUGCUAGUAAACGCAGGUCAGCACACUGCGUUGAAUACGUU
Molecule: ribosomal RNA, 1016 nt
Filed under: marine metagenome
Description: bacterial SSU rRNA
Rfam family: Bacterial small subunit ribosomal RNA
Source: RNAcentral